GCCGGGCGUGGUGGCUCACGCCUGUAAUCCCAGCACUUUGGGAGGCUGAGGUGGGUGGAUCACCUGAGGUCAGGAGUUCGAGAGCAGCCUGACCAAUAUGGUGAAACCCCGUCUCUA
Molecule: signal recognition particle RNA, 117 nt
Filed under: Nomascus leucogenys (northern white-cheeked gibbon)
Lineage: Eukaryota; Metazoa; Chordata; Mammalia; Primates; Hylobatidae
Description: Metazoan signal recognition particle RNA
Rfam family: Metazoan signal recognition particle RNA
About the family: The signal recognition particle (SRP) is a universally conserved ribonucleoprotein. It is involved in the co-translational targeting of proteins to membranes.
Source: Rfam by way of RNAcentral